This 1185-nucleotide long non-coding RNA is filed under the name Castor canadensis (American beaver). Its description in RNAcentral is "lncRNA (ENSCCNG00000004741.1)". Lineage: Eukaryota; Metazoa; Chordata; Mammalia; Rodentia; Castoridae. The record is from RNAcentral.
CCGGCUUUAAAAACAAAACGGCCCCGUUAGUCCCUGUGGGGAGAACCAGUCGUGCGAACAAACGUCUUCUUCCUAGGGCCUGAAUCUUUCACGAUCCUGUUCUUUAAAACGAGCCUUUACCUUUCUUGCAGGAGACCAAGGACACCGGGAUAUAACUAAACCAAAGCCUAUUUCUCCCCUCUCAAAGUGCACCUCCUUUGAGCUGCUCAGAUAGACCAUAAGAACCAUUUCCUGUCUCUGGACAUAGCGAGAUUUUUCUGCGCGAAGUGUAAUUCCUGAUGUGUGACUAGUGGCAUGCGAUGUGUGCACACGUGCGCGUGUGUGCAUGAAAUACGUUCUUGGAGUACGUGCUGGUUUUAAUAGCUAAGAUAUCAAGGGAGCCUCAGGUGUCAAUUCCAUUACCAUUUGAACACAGACUGGAAGGUCCUCUGCUCCCACAGCACACAGGUUCUCCCUCAGAGGAGCAGCAUGGAGGGAAGAUAAUCAACAUGGCUGGUUUUCCAUCUGGCACAUAAACCAGCAGUGGCUGUGGGCAUGUGAGUAUUUGCUGGGCGUUGACCUGCUCAUUUUCUCAUAAAUGGGUUUUUAGAAAUUCUGAGAUGUGCACUCCCAAAAUUAAGAUCAAUUCUAUUGAUGGUUCGUGUGUGUGUGUGUGAAAGAGCAAACUUCUCUGUCUGAAAUUGGUUGCAAUUGGUGAUAGAUUAUAGUACAUGUGGGCAAAGCAUCUUGAAAUAACAUUUCCUUCUAAUUAUUGACUUACUUGAACCUUGUCUGAAAAGGAAAAAAAUAGAAAAUACAGGACUUAGAUUGAAUAUUAAGUACAAACAUAUAACUCAAAUCCCUUAAACUGUUAAGAUUUAAUUUUUUCAUAUUUUAUGUUUAAUUAUUUUGCCAUACUAGGACUUGAACUCAGGGUAUACACCUUGAGCUACUCCACCUUGAGCCACUCCACCAGUCCUUUUUUGUGAUGGGCUUUUUUGAGAUAGGGUCUCAUGGAACUGUUUGCCUGGGGCUGGCUUCAAACUGCAAUCCUCCUGAUCUCAGCCUCCUGAGUAGCUAGGAUUACAGGUGUGAGCCACCAGCACCCAACUUAUGUUUAUUACUUGGAAAUAACAGCAUUAGGGUGUCAGAGCUUGCAAAAAUACAGGAUGCCAGUUAAAAAUAUUUUAACAGACUUUAUAUUUU